GCGGGAAUAGCUCAGUUGGUAGAGCAUAACCUUGCCAAGGUUGGGGUCGCGAG
This 53-nucleotide transfer RNA is filed under the name Acinetobacter baumannii PR07. Its description in RNAcentral is "tRNA-Gly". It matches the Rfam family "tRNA", at positions 1 to 51 of the family's 71-position model. Rfam says of the family: Transfer RNA (tRNA) molecules are approximately 80 nucleotides in length. Lineage: Bacteria; Pseudomonadati; Pseudomonadota; Gammaproteobacteria; Moraxellales; Moraxellaceae. The record is from RNAcentral.